GGUUCCGGAAAGUAAGCGGGUUCUAUAGUAAACUUGGAACUUGAAGUUCUUCCAAGAUCUUGUGGUAUGUCCUCAUAUGUCGAGGACAAGACUUUUCUAUUCUAGUUUUAUGAUAAGAUUCUUGUAAUAGACUUAAUAGACUUCUUUUGAUUGUAAAGGGCCGUGUCCCUAGUAUGUUUUCACGUUUAUGUCUAAGAUGGCUAAGAGACUUAGUAUUCCG
Molecule: long non-coding RNA, 220 nt
Filed under: Solanum tuberosum (potato)
Lineage: Eukaryota; Viridiplantae; Streptophyta; Magnoliopsida; Solanales; Solanaceae
Description: long non-coding RNA (STUB_LNC005884)
Source: RNAcentral